Molecule: long non-coding RNA, 183 nt
Organism: Dufourea novaeangliae
Lineage: Eukaryota; Metazoa; Arthropoda; Insecta; Hymenoptera; Halictidae
Exons: 2
Source: RefSeq, a predicted model, not a curated record
GCGGGAGCACGAUGUUUGCUAAAACGUGACGUAGGGUAAAUCGUGCUGUUAUCGAAAAGGACUGGUAUUCGUACGCAUUCCGUUUCGUACACUUUUGUUAAAUGUGGAUCUCUCGUCAACCCAAACCAUCGUCAUGUGAUUGAUGAGGCAAGAAAUAUGGGAUCAUAUCGUCAGAUAUACAGG